RNAcentral lists this ribosomal RNA (479 nucleotides) under uncultured bacterium. RNAcentral describes it as "bacterial SSU rRNA". It matches the Rfam family "Bacterial small subunit ribosomal RNA", at positions 328 to 793 of the family's 1533-position model. The record is from RNAcentral.
UCAGUCGACUCCUACGGGGAGGCAGCAGUGGGGGAAUAUUGCACAAUCGGGCGCAAGCCUGAUGCAGCCAUGCCGCGUGUGUGAAGAAGGACCUUCGGGUUGUAAAGCACUUUCAGUCGUGAGGAAGGUAGUGUAGUUAAUAGCUGCAUUAUUUGACGUUAGCGACAGAAGAAGCACCGGCUAACUCCGUGCCAGCAGCCGCGGUAAUACGGAGGGUGCGAGCGUUAAUCGGAAUUACUGGGCGUAAAGCGCAUGCAGGUGGUUUGUUAAGUCAGAUGUGAAAGACCCGGGGCUCAACCUCGGAAUAGCAUUUGAAACUGGCAGACUAGAGUACUGUAGAGGGGGGUAGGAAUUUCAGGUGUAGCGGUGAAAUGCGUAGAGAUCUGAAGGAAUACCGGUGGCGAAGGCGGCCCCCUGGACAGAUACUGACACUCAGAUGCGAAAGCGUGGGGAGCAAACAGGAUUAGAUACCCUGGUAG